GCUUGGUAGAGCACAUGGUUUGGGACCAUGGGGUCGCAGGUUCGAAUCCUGUCUUCCCGACCAUUCUUGGGGCCUUA
This 77-nucleotide transfer RNA is filed under the name Bacillus subtilis subsp. subtilis 6051-HGW. Its description in RNAcentral is "tRNA-Pro". The stretch from base 1 to 60 matches the Rfam family "tRNA", at positions 10 to 71 of the family's 71-position model. From Rfam's summary of the family: Transfer RNA (tRNA) molecules are approximately 80 nucleotides in length. Their secondary structure includes four short double-helical elements and three loops (D, anti-codon, and T loops). Further hydrogen bonds mediate the characteristic L-shaped molecular structure. tRNAs have two regions of fundamental functional importance: the anti-codon, which is responsible for specific mRNA codon recognition, and the 3' end, to which the tRNAs corresponding amino acid is attached (by aminoacyl-tRNA synthetases). tRNAs cope with the degeneracy of the genetic code in two manners: having more than one tRNA (with a specific anti-codon) for a particular amino acid; and 'wobble' base-pairing, i.e. permitting non-standard base-pairing at the 3rd anti-codon position. The record is from RNAcentral. Lineage: Bacteria; Bacillati; Bacillota; Bacilli; Caryophanales; Bacillaceae.